This 493-nucleotide ribosomal RNA is filed under the name Cercopagis pengoi. Its description in RNAcentral is "partial 16S ribosomal RNA". It matches the Rfam family "Bacterial large subunit ribosomal RNA", at positions 1796 to 2615 of the family's 2925-position model. The record is from RNAcentral. Lineage: Eukaryota; Metazoa; Arthropoda; Branchiopoda; Diplostraca; Cercopagididae.
UCGCCUGUUUAUCAAAAACAUCGCCUCUUGCUUUAAUGAGAGGUAGUGCCUGCUCAAUGCCUUCGGGUAAAUAGCCGCAGUAUUCUGACUGUGCUAAGGUAGCAUAAUCAUUUGUCUCUUGAUUGGAGGCUGGUAUGAAUGGCGUGACGAGAAACCGACUGUCUCUUGAGUGAUUGUCGAACUUCACUUCUAGGUGAAAAGGCCUAGAUAGUUCUGGAGGACGAUCAGACCCUGUAGAGCUUUAAUUGAUAUCCUUAUUAUAGUGUAGCAGAAUGUUAUAUAAGUAAGAGGGUUUAAUUUUGGUUGGGGCGACAGAGAGAAAUAAAUAACACUCUUUUUAAUAACCACAUAUGAGUGAAUUAUUGAUCCCCUAAGAGGGAUUAGAAGACUAAGUUACCUCAGGGAUAACAGCGUAAUUCUUUUGGAGAGUUCUUAUCGAUAAAGGAACCGCGACUCGCAUGUGAUCAAAAACAUAUACGUGAUCUGAGUCAGA